Molecule: ribosomal RNA, 442 nt
Filed under: uncultured bacterium
Lineage: Bacteria
Description: partial 16S ribosomal RNA
Rfam family: Bacterial small subunit ribosomal RNA
Source: RNAcentral
CCUACGGGUGGCAGCAGUGGGGAAUAUUGGGCAAUGGGCGCAAGCCUGACCCAGCAACGCCGCGUGAAGGAAGAAGGCUUUCGGGUUGUAAACCUCUUUUGACAGGGAAGAGUAGAAGACGGUACCUGUCGAAUAAGCCACGGCUAACUACGUGCCAGCAGCUGCGGUAAUGCGUAGGUGGCAAGCGUUGUGCGGAUUUACUGGGUUUAAAGGGCGUGUAGCUGGGUUGACAAGUCAGAUGUGAAAUCCUGCGGCUUAACCGCAGAAUUGCAUUUGAUACUGGUGAUCUUGAGUACAGUAGAGGCAGGCGGAAUUCGUAGUGUAGCGGUGAAAUGCGUAGAUAUUAGGAGGAACACCAGUGGCGAAGGCAGUCUGCUGGACAGCAACUGACGGUGAGGCGCGAAAGCGUGGGGAGCAAACAGGAUUAGAUACCCGUGUAGUC